UAAUACAUGCAAGUUGAGCGCUGAAGGUUGGUACUUGUACCAACUGGAUGAGCAGCGAACGGGUGAGUAACGCGUGGGGAAUCUGCCUUUGAGCGGGGGACAACAUUUGGAAACGAAUGCUAAUACCGCAUAAAAACUUUAAACACAAGUUUUAAGUUUGAAAGAUGCAAUUGCAUCACUCAAAGAUGAUCCCGCGUUGUAUUAGCUAGUUGGUGAGGUAAAGGCUCACCAAGGCGAUGAUACAUAGCCGACCUGAGAGGGUGAUCGGCCACAUUGGGACUGAGACACGGCCCAAACUCCUACGGGAGGCAGCAGUAG
Molecule: ribosomal RNA, 318 nt
Filed under: Lactococcus lactis subsp. lactis
Lineage: Bacteria; Bacillati; Bacillota; Bacilli; Lactobacillales; Streptococcaceae
Description: bacterial SSU rRNA
Rfam family: Bacterial small subunit ribosomal RNA
Source: RNAcentral